AAAACACUGCCACCGGGUAGAAGCAUUCGCUUGCACAUCGUUAGGUCAUAGAAGAUGUGCGGACGGAUGCUUAUUUUUU
Molecule: non-coding RNA, 79 nt
Filed under: unclassified sequences
Source: RNAcentral